This is a small nucleolar RNA of Cynocephalus volans (Philippine flying lemur), 126 nucleotides long. RefSeq annotates it as small nucleolar RNA SNORA57. NCBI's taxonomy places the organism in Eukaryota, Metazoa, Chordata, Mammalia, Dermoptera, Cynocephalidae. The transcript has a single exon. The record is from RefSeq and is a predicted model, not a curated record.
CCUCCUUUUCUUAGCGGGAACUGGGCAUGCAGUCCUGGUCCCCAUUAUGUACAAACACAGAAGGAAUGGUUCCAGCCCCCUUGGAAUCAUGUCUUCCACCCCCUGGUUCUAUCUUCAAGCAAAUGG